GUACUACGCUUAGAGAGCCCUAGGAACGUUACAUUUGAAUCCUUCGGUAGCCAAAAAUGGAAGAAAACUCCAGAAAUAAUUCUUCAAGAACAUACACUAACGAUUUUGGCCGGAUUAUUUCAUCCGACCCAAAUUCAAAUUCAUCUUGUGAAGAUUCCGGUGAUGUGCUGUCGCCGGAUCCCAUCUCUUGUGCUCUGCCGGCAAGAUUAAUGUAGCCUCAGGUCAACAAACGAUUGCAAUAACAUUUAAAUGCAAGUGGUGUUCCUAUAUUAAGAAGAUUAUACAUGUGUUCCUUUGGAGUUUUAAGGUGCGAAGGUGUUGCAAUUAUUUGGUAGUUUCUUCCAGUUGUAGUUUUUAAUAGCAGAUUUGGUGAUAAUGAUAGUUCACCAUUAAUGGAGGCGAACAACAACCUUCUUGAUUGAGGGACAUAUACGUAUCCUUGUAUAGUUUCUUGUUCUAUGGUUUUCUGGGACAACUUGAA
Sesamum indicum (sesame) is the source of this 481-nucleotide long non-coding RNA. RefSeq lists it as uncharacterized. The record is from RefSeq and is a predicted model, not a curated record. NCBI's taxonomy places the organism in Eukaryota, Viridiplantae, Streptophyta, Magnoliopsida, Lamiales, Pedaliaceae.